UCCUCCCCCCGCGACUCCCCUCGAUCUGUCUGCACCGUCCACCUCCUCCCCCGCGACUCCCCUCGAUCUGUCAGCCCCGCCGCCUCCCUUCGACCCCCUUCGAAUCCAGCAUCGCCACCUCCCCUCGACCCCCUUCGAGUCGAGCGGCGCUGCCUCCCCUCGUUCCUCCUGUCCUGCUCCAGCCGCCGGCAACGACCACUCCAGCUGCCGCCGAUGCCGACGAGGAUGGACUGUUGAAUCCGCCGCCGAGGAGCAAAGGGCCAUCUGCGGAUUUCUAGCUGAUCUCUUCCUCCUACAUCAACCUCCUCUGCAUAUCUCAAGAACCAAACAAAACGCGGUUGGUCCAGUCCGGAGCUGUUACAGACUGUAUUCAGUUCCCCUUUACGUUUACGUUACCACUCAACGAAACAAACACCUCCCUAGUGUAAACAAGAUCUCUUACCAAUAUGAUGAGAUCUACUAUAUGUUGAAGUUACUUUCAAAAUUUGGAAGGGAAUAAAAUGUCAUGUUGAACUA
This is a long non-coding RNA of Triticum dicoccoides, 516 nucleotides long. RefSeq lists it as uncharacterized. Lineage: Eukaryota; Viridiplantae; Streptophyta; Magnoliopsida; Poales; Poaceae. The record is from RefSeq and is a predicted model, not a curated record. The transcript has 2 exons.